UUAAUUAGCAAAAGGGAUCUCUGGUAGACUUGAAACUACCUAGUUCCAUAAAGACGUCUGACCUUGCUUCUAACUUUCACAACCUCAAAGCUUUUAAUAGCUUAACUAUUAUGUCUACUUUUGUGAAACACAGCCCAUGUACAAAAUCUGGCGAGAAAAACAUGACCCCGUUAUGAUCACUUUCAUCUGACUUGUAUCUUGCUCACUUUAAAUGACUGCCAAUCAUUGAGGAAAAUUGUAGAAUAACUGGAGAGGCUAAAGAUGCUCAGGGAAGUAACUCUGAAGAAUCAAAGAAGAUCCACUAGGUGCUACCUGAACACAUUGGUCAGUUUGUCCACUGGGCCAACUAUAUGAUACAGUUAAUGCAUCUCUAGCAGAACUCUUUUAAUAGAAAAAGGUAGGUUUAAUUUAACACUCAUUUUCCUCACUCUGCCUAUUGAAAAUCAAUUUCCUUUUGCUCAGUAAUUGGUCACCUGGUGCUAACUCAACUUUUUCUUUCUUUCUUUCUUUCUUUCUUUCUUUCUUUCUUUCUUUCUUUCUUUCUUUCUUUCUUAGGUCUAAUUUCUCAGGCAUUUAGCUUUGAAAGGUUUGUGCGCCUGCAGGAAAAACAUUAUGUGAUCUGACCCCCAUGUGCUUCAAAAUCAUUACCAAGACCAGCAUUUUAUUCACAUAGUAAGGGUGAAUAAAAUACUUACACAAUCAUAAGUA
Molecule: long non-coding RNA, 708 nt
Filed under: Pogona vitticeps (central bearded dragon)
Lineage: Eukaryota; Metazoa; Chordata; Lepidosauria; Squamata; Agamidae
Description: lncRNA (ENSPVIG00000022550.1)
Source: RNAcentral